CGUUGGUCUCUUCUCAUCGCUACGCGCUACCCGAAAUAGUACGUUUCCAGCACUCCGGGGACUUCAGCUUUGCUUCCGCUGAUCUGGAAGAAUGAAACGGACUGUAGGAGCCUGUGUAGCUGGCCACAAUCUCCAAGUACUACACAAAGUUAAAAGGUUGAUGCACUGUGGCCAGCUGCACAGGAAUGUAGCCCUUUUGUUGGGGGUUAAUGACAUUGUGGUAGGGUAAGUCAAGUGUUUGCUUAGUAGAUUUUUGUUACAGUAAUUAAAGAAUUUGGGAAAUAUUACCAAUUAAGAACAUUUUACUUUAACUUGCUCUCCAUGUUUAUUACAUACUUUGAUGAUUUGCUAGCAUAAUAAGAGAACUUUCAUGCCAAAGAUUGAUUUUUUCCCCUUUGUAUGAAGUAAAUUUCAUAACCAUAAUUUUAAAUUUAAAGCAAUGAACUCCAAAGAAAAUUUUUUUUUAUAGACUCAUGUAUUGUUGGAAAUUGAUCAAUUUCUCAAAGUCUAAAAAAGAAGUUUUCAAAAUUACCGUGAUAAAGAUAUUCUCCUCCUGUAGCCACUUCAAAUUGUUAUUGUGUUUACUGAAUACAUGAUUUAUGAUUCCAGAAAGGGGAAACUAUAAAAUCCAUGAAGCGGAAGCUGAAAAGCAUUCUCCGCUUCAUGGCUUUUCGCAGGAAGUGUGUUUUCCUGCUUACGGUACCCCCGUUCCGGAGAAUCGUCCAAAAUGAAAAGAAAAA
This is a long non-coding RNA of Bacillus rossius redtenbacheri, 740 nucleotides long. RefSeq lists it as uncharacterized. The record is from RefSeq and is a predicted model, not a curated record. The transcript has 2 exons. Lineage: Eukaryota; Metazoa; Arthropoda; Insecta; Phasmatodea; Bacillidae.